Molecule: ribosomal RNA, 499 nt
Filed under: uncultured bacterium
Lineage: Bacteria
Description: partial 16S ribosomal RNA
Rfam family: Bacterial small subunit ribosomal RNA
Source: RNAcentral
ACUCAAAUGAAUUGACGGGGGCCCGCACAAGCGGUGGAGCAUGUGGUUCAAUUCGACGCAACGCGAAGAACCUUACCUGGGUUAAAUCCAUUCGUAGACUGCAGAGAUGUGGUUUUGCCCUUCGGGGAGCGAAUGAGAAGGUGCUGCAUGGCUGUCGUCAGCUCGUGUCGUGAGAUGUUGGGUUAAGUCCCGCAACGAGCGCAACCCUUGUCGUUAGUUGGCAACAGUUCGGCUGGCCACUCUAACGAGACUGCCGGCGUUAAGCCGGAGGAAGGUGGGGAUGACGUCAAGUCCUCAUGGCCCUUAUGCCCAGGGCUACACACGUGCUACAAUGGCCGGUACAAAGCGUCGCUAACCCGCGAGGGGGAGCUAAUCGCAAAAAACCGGUCUCAGUUCGGAUAGGAGUCUGCAACUCGACUCCUUGAAGUCGGAAUCGCUAGUAAUCGCCAAUCAGCAGGUGGCGGUGAAUACGUUCCCGGGCCUUGUACACACCGCCCGU